This 74-nucleotide transfer RNA is filed under the name Patescibacteria group bacterium. Its description in RNAcentral is "tRNA-Ala". It matches the Rfam family "tRNA". Rfam says of the family: Transfer RNA (tRNA) molecules are approximately 80 nucleotides in length. The record is from RNAcentral.
GGGCCAUUAGCUCAGUUGGCUAGAGUGCUUCCAUGGCAUGGAAGAGGUCAAGGGUUCGAGUCCCUUAUGGUCCA